This 659-nucleotide ribosomal RNA is filed under the name uncultured Stenotrophomonas sp. Its description in RNAcentral is "bacterial SSU rRNA". It matches the Rfam family "Bacterial small subunit ribosomal RNA", at positions 28 to 674 of the family's 1533-position model. Lineage: Bacteria; Pseudomonadati; Pseudomonadota; Gammaproteobacteria; Lysobacterales; Lysobacteraceae. The record is from RNAcentral.
AGUGAACGCUGGCGGUAGGCCUAACACAUGCAAGUCGAACGGCAGCACAGUAAGAGCUUGCUCUUAUGGGUGGCGAGUGGCGGACGGGUGAGGAAUACAUCGGAAUCUACUUUUUCGUGGGGGAUAACGUAGGGAAACUUACGCUAAUACCGCAUACGACCUACGGGUGAAAGCAGGGGAUCUUCGGACCUUGCGCGAUUGAAUGAGCCGAUGUCGGAUUAGCUAAUUGGCGGGGUAAAGGCCCACCAAGGCGACGAUCCGUAGCUGGUCUGAGAGGAUGAUCAGCCACACUGGAACUGAGACACGGUCCAGACUCCUACGGGAGGCAGCAGUGGGGAAUAUUGGACAAUGGGCGCAAGCCUGAUCCAGCCAUACCGCGUGGGUGAAGAAGGCCUUCGGGUUGUAAAGCCCUUUUGUUGGGAAAGAAAUCCAGCCGGCUAAUACCUGGUUGGGAUGACGGUACCCAAAGAAUAAGCACCGGCUAACUUCGUGCCAGCAGCCGCGGUAAUACGAAGGGUGCAAGCGUUACUCGGAAUUACUGGGCGUAAAGCGUGCGUAGGUGGUUGUUUAAGUCUGUUGUGAAAGCCCUGGGCUCAACCUGGGAACUGCAGUGGAAACUGGACAACUAGAGUGUGGUAGAGGGUAGCGGAAUUCCCGGU